RNAcentral lists this transfer RNA (68 nucleotides) under Zaedyus pichiy. Its description in RNAcentral is "tRNA-Thr". The record is from RNAcentral. Lineage: Eukaryota; Metazoa; Chordata; Mammalia; Cingulata; Chlamyphoridae.
GCCCUAGUAGUAUAACUAUUACCAUGGUCUUGUAAACCAUAAAUGAACCAACUACGCUUCCUAGGACA